RNAcentral lists this ribosomal RNA (632 nucleotides) under uncultured Albidiferax sp. RNAcentral describes it as "bacterial SSU rRNA". It matches the Rfam family "Bacterial small subunit ribosomal RNA", at positions 292 to 916 of the family's 1533-position model. The record is from RNAcentral. Lineage: Bacteria; Pseudomonadati; Pseudomonadota; Betaproteobacteria; Burkholderiales; Comamonadaceae.
CUGAGAGGACGACCAGCCCACACUGGAACUGAGACACGGUCCAGACUCCUACGGGAGGCAGCAGUGGGGAAUUUUGGACAAUGGGCGCAAGCCUGAUCCAGCAAUGCCGCGUGCAGGAUGAAGGCCUUCGGGUUGUAAACUGCUUUUGUACGGAACGAAACGGUCCUUUCUAAUACAAGGGGCUAAUGACGGUACCGUAAGAAUAAGCACCGGCUAACUACGUGCCAGCAGCCGCGGUAAUACGUAGGGUGCGAGCGUUAAUCGGAAUUACUGGGCGUAAAGCGUGCGCAGGCGGUUAUAUAAGACAGAUGUGAAAUCCCCGGGCUCAACCUGGGACCUGCAUAUGUGACUGUAUAGCUAGAGUACGGUAGAGGGGGAUGGAAUUCCGCGUGUAGCAGUGAAAUGCGUAGAUAUGCGGAGGAACACCGAUGGCGAAGGCAAUCCCCUGGACCUGUACUGACGCUCAUGCACGAAAGCGUGGGGAGCAAUCAGGAUUAGAUACCCUGGUAGUCCACGCCCUAAACGAUGUCAACUGGUUGUUGGGUCUUCACUGACUCAGUAACGAAGCUAACGCGUGAAGUUGACCGCCUGGGGAGUACGGCCGCAAGGUUGAAACUCAAAGGAAUUGACGG